RNAcentral lists this ribosomal RNA (434 nucleotides) under uncultured Serratia sp. Its description in RNAcentral is "bacterial SSU rRNA". It matches the Rfam family "Bacterial small subunit ribosomal RNA", at positions 958 to 1392 of the family's 1533-position model. The record is from RNAcentral. Lineage: Bacteria; Pseudomonadati; Pseudomonadota; Gammaproteobacteria; Enterobacterales; Yersiniaceae.
AACGCGAAGAACCUUACCUACUCUUGACAUCCAGAGAACUUUCCAGAGAUGGAUUGGUGCCUUCGGGAACUCUGAGACAGGUGCUGCAUGGCUGUCGUCAGCUCGUGUUGUGAAAUGUUGGGUUAAGUCCCGCAACGAGCGCAACCCUUAUCCUUUGUUGCCAGCGGUUCGGCCGGGAACUCAAAGGAGACUGCCAGUGAUAAACUGGAGGAAGGUGGGGAUGACGUCAAGUCAUCAUGGCCCUUACGAGUAGGGCUACACACGUGCUACAAUGGCAUAUACAAAGAGAAGCGACCUCGCGAGAGCAAGCGGACCUCAUAAAGUAUGUCGUAGUCCGGAUUGGAGUCUGCAACUCGACUCCAUGAAGUCGGAAUCGCUAGUAAUCGUAGAUCAGAAUGCUACGGUGAAUACGUUCCCGGGCCUUGUACACACCG